GCCAGACUCCUACGGGAGGCAGCAGUGGGGAAUAUUGCACAAUGGGGGAAACCCUGAUGCAGCGACGCCGCGUGAGUGAAGAAGUAUUUCGGUAUGUAAAGCUCUAUCAGCAGGAACGAGACAAGACGGUACCUGACUAAGAAGCCCCGGCUAACUACGUGCCAGCAGCCGCGGUAAUACGUAGGGGGCAAGCGUUAUCCGGAAUCACUGGGUGUAAAGGGAGCGUAGACGGCUGUGCAAGCCUGAAGUGAAAGGCGGGGGCCCAACCCCUGGACUGCUUUGGGAACUGUACGGCUGGAGUGCAGGAGAGGUAAGUGGAAUUCCUAGUGUAGCGGUGAAAUGCGUAGAUAUUAGGAGGAACACCAGUGGCGAAGGCGGCUUACUGGACUGUAACUGACGUUGAGGCUCGAAAGCGUGGGGAGCAAACAGGAUUAGAUACCCGCGUAAU
Molecule: ribosomal RNA, 448 nt
Filed under: uncultured bacterium
Lineage: Bacteria
Description: bacterial SSU rRNA
Rfam family: Bacterial small subunit ribosomal RNA
Source: RNAcentral